RNAcentral lists this ribosomal RNA (2396 nucleotides) under Escherichia coli. RNAcentral describes it as "partial 23S ribosomal RNA". It matches the Rfam family "Bacterial large subunit ribosomal RNA", at positions 419 to 2798 of the family's 2925-position model. The record is from RNAcentral. Lineage: Bacteria; Pseudomonadati; Pseudomonadota; Gammaproteobacteria; Enterobacterales; Enterobacteriaceae.
GGGACACGUGGUAUCCUGUCUGAAUAUGGGGGGACCAUCCUCCAAGGCUAAAUACUCCUGACUGACCGAUAGUGAACCAGUACCGUGAGGGAAAGGCGAAAAGAACCCCGGCGAGGGGAGUGAAAAAGAACCUGAAACCGUGUACGUACAAGCAGUGGGAGCACGCUUAGGCGUGUGACUGCGUACCUUUUGUAUAAUGGGUCAGCGACUUAUAUUCUGUAGCAAGGUUAACCGAAUAGGGGAGCCGAAGGGAAACCGAGUCUUAACUGGGCGUUAAGUUGCAGGGUAUAGACCCGAAACCCGGUGAUCUAGCCAUGGGCAGGUUGAAGGUUGGGUAACACUAACUGGAGGACCGAACCGACUAAUGUUGAAAAAUUAGCGGAUGACUUGUGGCUGGGGGUGAAAGGCCAAUCAAACCGGGAGAUAGCUGGUUCUCCCCGAAAGCUAUUUAGGUAGCGCCUCGUGAAUUCAUCUCCGGGGGUAGAGCACUGUUUCGGCAAGGGGGUCAUCCCGACUUACCAACCCGAUGCAAACUGCGAAUACCGGAGAAUGUUAUCACGGGAGACACACGGCGGGUGCUAACGUCCGUCGUGAAGAGGGAAACAACCCAGACCGCCAGCUAAGGUCCCAAAGUCAUGGUUAAGUGGGAAACGAUGUGGGAAGGCCCAGACAGCCAGGAUGUUGGCUUAGAAGCAGCCAUCAUUUAAAGAAAGCGUAAUAGCUCACUGGUCGAGUCGGCCUGCGCGGAAGAUGUAACGGGGCUAAACCAUGCACCGAAGCUGCGGCAGCGACGCUUAUGCGUUGUUGGGUAGGGGAGCGUUCUGUAAGCCUGUGAAGGUGUGCUGUGAGGCAUGCUGGAGGUAUCAGAAGUGCGAAUGCUGACAUAAGUAACGAUAAAGCGGGUGAAAAGCCCGCUCGCCGGAAGACCAAGGGUUCCUGUCCAACGUUAAUCGGGGCAGGGUGAGUCGACCCCUAAGGCGAGGCCGAAAGGCGUAGUCGAUGGGAAACAGGUUAAUAUUCCUGUACUUGGUGUUACUGCGAAGGGGGGACGGAGAAGGCUAUGUUGGCCGGGCGACGGUUGUCCCGGUUUAAGCGUGUAGGCUGGUUUUCCAGGCAAAUCCGGAAAAUCAAGGCUGAGGCGUGAUGACGAGGCACUACGGUGCUGAAGCAACAAAUGCCCUGCUUCCAGGAAAAGCCUCUAAGCAUCAGGUAACAUCAAAUCGUACCCCAAACCGACACAGGUGGUCAGGUAGAGAAUACCAAGGCGCUUGAGAGAACUCGGGUGAAGGAACUAGGCAAAAUGGUGCCGUAACUUCGGGAGAAGGCACGCUGAUAUGUAGGUGAAGUCCCUCGCGGAUGGAGCUGAAAUCAGUCGAAGAUACCAGCUGGCUGCAACUGUUUAUUAAAAACACAGCACUGUGCAAACACGAAAGUGGACGUAUACGGUGUGACGCCUGCCCGGUGCCGGAAGGUUAAUUGAUGGGGUUAGCCGCAAGGCGAAGCUCUUGAUCGAAGCCCCGGUAAACGGCGGCCGUAACUAUAACGGUCCUAAGGUAGCGAAAUUCCUUGUCGGGUAAGUUCCGACCUGCACGAAUGGCGUAAUGAUGGCCAGGCUGUCUCCACCCGAGACUCAGUGAAAUUGAACUCGCUGUGAAGAUGCAGUGUACCCGCGGCAAGACGGAAAGACCCCGUGAACCUUUACUAUAGCUUGACACUGAACAUUGAGCCUUGAUGUGUAGGAUAGGUGGGAGGCUUAGAAGUGUGGACGCCAGUCUGCAUGGAGCCGACCUUGAAAUACCACCCUUUAAUGUUUGAUGUUCUAACGUUGACCCGUAAUCCGGGUUGCGGACAGUGUCUGGUGGGUAGUUUGACUGGGGCGGUCUCCUCCUAAAGAGUAACGGAGGAGCACGAAGGUUGGCUAAUCCUGGUCGGACAUCAGGAGGUUAGUGCAAUGGCAUAAGCCAGCUUGACUGCGAGCGUGACGGCGCGAGCAGGUGCGAAAGCAGGUCAUAGUGAUCCGGUGGUUCUGAAUGGAAGGGCCAUCGCUCAACGGAUAAAAGGUACUCCGGGGAUAACAGGCUGAUACCGCCCAAGAGUUCAUAUCGACGGCGGUGUUUGGCACCUCGAUGUCGGCUCAUCACAUCCUGGGGCUGAAGUAGGUCCCAAGGGUAUGGCUGUUCGCCAUUUAAAGUGGUACGCGAGCUGGGUUUAGAACGUCGUGAGACAGUUCGGUCCCUAUCUGCCGUGGGCGCUGGAGAACUGAGGGGGGCUGCUCCUAGUACGAGAGGACCGGAGUGGACGCAUCACUGGUGUUCGGGUUGUCAUGCCAAUGGCACUGCCCGGUAGCUAAAUGCGGAAGAGAUAAGUGCUGAAAGCAUCUAAGCACGAAACUUGCC